Molecule: ribosomal RNA, 478 nt
Filed under: Firmicutes bacterium AV4-2
Lineage: Bacteria; Bacillati; Bacillota
Description: bacterial SSU rRNA
Rfam family: Bacterial small subunit ribosomal RNA
Source: RNAcentral
UGAACGCUGGCGGCGUGCCUAACACAUGCAAGUCGAGCGCGAUUAGUUGGACUGGAGGCUUCGGUCAAAGGGAAGAUUAUGAAAGCGGCGGACGGGUGAGUAACGCGUGAGCAACCUGCCCUGUACAGGGGGAUAGCCACUGGAAACGGUGAUUAAUACCCCAUAAACCCAAAAGAUCGCAUGAUCUAAUGGGCAAAGUCCUAACGGUACAGGAUGGGCUCGCGUCUGAUUAGCUAGUUGGUGAGGUAAUGGCUCACCAAGGCGACGAUCAGUAGCCGACCUGAGAGGGUGAACGGCCACACUGGAACUGAGACACGGUCCAGACUCCUACGGGAGGCAGCAGUGGGGAAUAUUGCACAAUGGGCGCAAGCCUGAUGCAGCAACGCCGCGUGAGUGAUGAAGGCCUUCGGGUCGUAAAACUCUGUCCUAAGGGAAGAAGAAGUGACGGUACCUUAGGAGGAAGCCCCGGCUAACUACG